GAUAAUUGAUGGGGACAUUUUCUGAUGAGGUCCUUUAAUCUUUCCCAUGCCUCAUGGAACUGCUCACUAUCAUGUUGUGAGAAGCUAGUGAGAGCACGCCUUAUUUG
This is a small nucleolar RNA of Cephalotus follicularis, 107 nucleotides long. It matches the Rfam family "Plant small nucleolar RNA R71". From Rfam's summary of the family: R71 is a member of the C/D box family of snoRNAs containing the C (UGAUGA) and D (CUGA) box motifs. Multiple nearly identical copies of this snoRNA have been identified in Arabidopsis, and it is thought to function as a 2'-O-ribose methylation guide for 18S ribosomal RNA. The record is from Rfam. Lineage: Eukaryota; Viridiplantae; Streptophyta; Magnoliopsida; Oxalidales; Cephalotaceae.